UUUGAGAAAAAUCCUCCAGCAAUGAAAAUACAAGCAGUUAUUAUCAUCAUUCAGUUGUUUACUCUUGCUGCAGCCACUUUGACAUCCACCCCCACUGUGGCCUGUCCUGAUGACACUGUUGCCUUCACCUGUACUCUGCCUGGUACUAUGGGUGUAACCAUUGGCUGGACAGUAACUCCACCAACAGGACUAAAUGUGGCCAGUGCAUCUGGAGCAGUUAGUAACAGUUUGGUAAUGAAUAUCAUUGGCUCUGAUGGGUUCCUGUUCCGGGCUGAUUACUCUGGAUAUUCAAUGGAGGCAUGGUAACAUCUACCCUUACCACUCUCACCAUGGUGACAGCGCUGGCUGGAGCUAUGGUAGACUGUAGAGUAAUAGGAGGAGUAGGGGAAGAUCAAAUACCCAUCAGCGUGGCUGAUCCAUCUUCACUUCUACUGAACCCAAGUGUGACCUCCACUCAAAGCCAACCCAGUUCUUCUAAUAUCACUUUGGAGUGGGACUCCCCUUCAUCUACUGGUGGUGUGUCUGUCAGCUAUGUCGUCACUAUCUCCCCAAUACCUCUCUCCGGGUUACCAGUCACCAUGGAAACCACCUCUGCACAUAUCAUUGUCUCCUACAACACUCUCUACAAUGUGACAAUCAGAGCUGUCAACUGUGCUGGAAUGAGUCAAGAAGCUUCAA
Molecule: long non-coding RNA, 678 nt
Organism: Halichondria panicea
Lineage: Eukaryota; Metazoa; Porifera; Demospongiae; Suberitida; Halichondriidae
Exons: 3
Source: RefSeq, a predicted model, not a curated record